This is a non-coding RNA of Glonium stellatum, 83 nucleotides long. Lineage: Eukaryota; Fungi; Ascomycota; Dothideomycetes; Gloniales; Gloniaceae. The record is from the annotation of a GenBank genome assembly.
GGGGGAUUGGCGCAAUGGUAGCGCGUUGGUUUUCGGUUCUAGCUGUCCACCAAAGGUUGUGGGUUCGAGCCCCAUGUCCCUCG